GCUGGCGGCGUGCCUAACACAUGCAAGUCGAACGAGAAAGUGGAGCAAUCCAUGAGUAAAGUGGCGACCGGGUGAGUAACACGUGACUAACCUACCUCCGAGUGGGGAAUAACUCCGGGAAACCGGGGCUAAUACCGCAUAACAUCGCAAGAUCAAAGCAGCAAUGCGCUUGGAGAGGGGGUCGCGGCUGAUUAGCUAGUUGGCGGGGUAACGGCCCACCAAGGCGAAGAUCGGUAUCCGGCCUGAGAGGGCGCACGGACACACUGGAACUGAAACACGGUCCAGACUCCUACGGGAGGCAGCAGUGGGGAAUUUUGCGCAAUGGGGGAAACCCUGACGCAGCAACGCCGCGUGGAGGAUGAAGCCCCUUGGGGCGUAAACUCCUUUCGACCAAGACGAUAAUGACGGUACUGGUGGAAGAAGCACCGGCUAACUCUGUGCCAGCAGCCGCGGUAAUACAGAGGGUGCGAGCGUUGUUCGGAAUUAUUGGGCGUAAAGGGCGCGUAGGCGGUGCCACAAGUCACUUGUGAAAUCCCCGGGCUUAACUC
Molecule: ribosomal RNA, 548 nt
Filed under: uncultured soil bacterium
Lineage: Bacteria
Description: bacterial SSU rRNA
Rfam family: Bacterial small subunit ribosomal RNA
Source: RNAcentral